UCCCACUUUUAUGUCUAGGGCAUACCAGUGAAGAGAGAAUUAGUUGUUUUUUUGUUUACGGCCUCAGGAAAAAGGUGUACUUCUUUACAAGGCUUUUAAGAUCAAAGAGUCACUCUAGGCAGCCGCCAGAGAACGCGGAGGGAUCCGUACACCCACUUCCGGCGUUGGCUCGAGGGGCGGAGAAAGAAGUCUUUAACUCCCAAGAAAGGUUUUUAUUGUGAGGUAGACGGUCUCCUGGUUCUCGCGCGAGAUAAUGGAGGAGCGAGCGCGUCGAGAUGAUUGGUCAGGCACGGGCUCGAUCCCAAAGCCGAUUCCUCAUCAAAACCAUCUGCGUUCUCAACUUGAGUGAAGUACCAGGGAGGAAAACCAGCCGAUCAAGAAUAUGAAGAGGACCACAGGGGCUGAGCCCAGGAGGAAAGAUUAUAGGUCUCACAACACAAUUUUUCCAGACAUGAGCUUCAGUUAUUUUUUUAUUUGGGGAAAAAAAGUCACAACCAAGAGUAUAAAGUACUUUGUAUUGAACUCAUGUUUUAGGAAGGGGCAACAAGGAAAACCAAAAUACACUUUGGAAUUGAUUGGGUUUUCGAGAUGAUGAGUCUUUUUUCAAGCAUUAAGCCAACUAUGUGGUUUGCUAACCUAGAUGGUGCAAAAAAAUUUCCAGAUGGAGUAGAAGCAGAUGCUGUUACUUCAGGCAAAAGUGAAAGUUACAGAGUAGAAAGGUGGGAAAAGGCCCUACAUCUUUCCCCAAAGC
Molecule: long non-coding RNA, 751 nt
Organism: Capra hircus (goat)
Lineage: Eukaryota; Metazoa; Chordata; Mammalia; Artiodactyla; Bovidae
Exons: 2
Source: RefSeq, a predicted model, not a curated record